Molecule: long non-coding RNA, 520 nt
Filed under: Lupinus mutabilis
Lineage: Eukaryota; Viridiplantae; Streptophyta; Magnoliopsida; Fabales; Fabaceae
Description: partial ncRNA
Source: RNAcentral
GAAAGACCUAGAUACUAGAUAUAGUGGAUAUUUUAUUACAUUUUGUAUGAAGUCAUGUUUCUCCUCUUGAGAUAAAAUCAGUGUGGGUUCAAUGUCCUUUAUUUGCCAUGGGGUCACAUAUAACUAGUUGUUGGGUUCAUUGAUAAGAAGAAAAAUGAUAAUCUGGCAAUUGGUUGAAUCAACGUUCACUACUAAAUGGCUUCUUCCAAAUCCUUUCUUCUUCAUCUUCUUCUCAUUUCUCUUAUGUUUGUUGCCACAAAGGUGACCUAUGCAAAACCUUUGGUUGCAGUGCCACUAAUAAAGCCAUCACCACCACCAUCUCUGGUGGUUGGAGUUGCCACUCGUACUUUACCACCACCACCACCACCACCAGAGAGAGCACGGUCACCCGUAGUGAGGCGUGAUGUUCCACCAGCUCCACCACCAGCUGCACCACCAGCUCCACCACAAGCUCCACCACCAGCUCCACCACCAGCUGCACCACCAGCUCCACCACAAGCUCCACCACCAGCUCCACCAC